Molecule: ribosomal RNA, 484 nt
Filed under: uncultured bacterium
Lineage: Bacteria
Description: partial 16S ribosomal RNA
Rfam family: Bacterial small subunit ribosomal RNA
Source: RNAcentral
AGUGAACGCUGGCGGCAGGCCUAACACGUGCAAGUCGAGCGGCAGCGGGUCCUUCGGGAUGCCGGCGAGCGGCGGACGGGUGAGGAAUGCAUCGGAAUCUGCCCUGUCGUGGGGGAUAACCUAGGGAAACUUAGGCUAAUACCGCAUACGACCCACGGGUGAAAGCGGGGGAUCGCAAGACCUCGCGCGAUAGGAUGAGCCGAUGUCCGAUUAGCUAGUUGGCGGGGUAAAGGCCCACCAAGGCGACGAUCGGUAGCUGGUCUGAGAGGAUGAUCAGCCACACUGGGGCUGAGACACGGCCCAGACUCCUACGGGAGGCAGCAGUGGGGAAUAUUGGACAAUGGGCGCAAGCCUGAUCCAGCCAUGCCGCGUGGGUGAAGAAGGCCUUCGGGUUGUAAAGCCCUUUUGUCCGGGAAGAAAUCGUCUGGGCUAAUACCCCGGGCGGAUGACGGUACCGGAAGAAUAAGCACCGGCUAACUUCGUG